Molecule: ribosomal RNA, 730 nt
Filed under: Macrohectopus branickii
Lineage: Eukaryota; Metazoa; Arthropoda; Malacostraca; Amphipoda; Macrohectopidae
Description: bacterial SSU rRNA
Rfam family: Eukaryotic small subunit ribosomal RNA
Source: RNAcentral
CUCUUUCUCGAUUCAGUGGAUGGUGGUGCAUGGCCGUUCUUAGUUGGUGGAGUGAUCUGUCUGGUUAAUUCCGAUAACGAACGAGACUCUCCCCUGCUAACUAGUCGGUUGGAUCUUGAUCAGCGGGUUGCGUGCCGAGUAACUCUCGCUGUGCGGGUGGUGCGUCUCGGGCCUCACGGUUCGUUGCGUGCUCUCGUGUGGCGUUGGAUGCCUUGGAUCACACUGCACCCCAAGUCYGCCGCUUAUGCUAUAACUCUUCUUAGAGGGAUUCACGGCACUGAAGCCGUAAGAGACUGAGAGCAAUAACAGGUCUGUGAUGCCCUUAGAUGCUCUGGGCCGCACGCGCGCUACAAUGCCGGGCACAGCAGGUGUUUCUCCUGCUCCGACAGGAGCGGGUAACCCUCUGAAAGCCAGUGUUCUUGCAAGUGAUUCCUCCCUCGUGGAGUUUCACAGAGGCGUGCUUGGGCCUGGGACUUGCAAUUCUUUCCCACCAACGAGGAAUGCCUAGUARCGGCGGGUCACUGAGCCCGCUGUGACUCAGUCCCUGCCCUUUGUACACACCGCCCGUCGCUACUACCGAUUGGGUGUACCAGUGAGAGCCUUGGACUGGCGUCCGUUGUUGCUCGCAAGAGUGACAAGCGGGUCCGACGGAAAGAGGUCCGAACUGGUGCACUUAGAGGAAGUAAAAGUCGUAACAAGGUUUCCGUAGGUGAACCUGCGGAAGGGAUCA